GUGGGAUACGGGGACGUGGCUCCGAAGACCUAUCCGGGGAUGUUCGUGGGUGCGCUGUGUGCAUUGGCCGGAGUGCUGACCAUCGCCCUGCCAGUGCCAGUCAUCGUCAGCAAC
Non-coding RNA from Drosophila ficusphila, 114 nucleotides. The record is from Rfam. Lineage: Eukaryota; Metazoa; Arthropoda; Insecta; Diptera; Drosophilidae.